Rhineura floridana is the source of this 3416-nucleotide long non-coding RNA. RefSeq lists it as uncharacterized. The record is from RefSeq and is a predicted model, not a curated record. Lineage: Eukaryota; Metazoa; Chordata; Lepidosauria; Squamata; Rhineuridae. The transcript is spliced from 2 exons.
AUUGGUUUUAUGUUGGGAAAUUUUGGAAGAAACAUAAAAAACUGAAACGUUGCUUGGAUUAAGUAUUCAACUCCCACACGUCAAUAUUUGGUAGAGCCACCUUUCUCUGCAAUAACAGCUUUAAUUUUUUGGGGGGUAGGUAUGUACCAGCUUUGCCCAUAGUGUUGAAGGAAUGUUGGCCCAUUCCUCUUGGCAGAUUUGCUCCAGGUCAUUUAGGCUGGUUGGAUGUUGCUUGCGGACCGCAAUUUUCAAAGAGCGCCACAGAUUUUCAAUGGGAUUGAGAUCAGGAGUUUGACUGGGCCACUGUAGGACAUUUACCUUUUUGUUCUUGAGCCACUCCAAUGUUGCUUUGGCCUUGUGCUUGGGAUCAUUGUAUUGUUGGAAAGUGAAUUUCCUCCCAAGCUUCAGUUUUUUAGUGGACUGAAGCAGGUUCUCUUGCAGUAUUUCCCUGUAUUUUGCUCCUUCCAUUCUUCCUUCGAUUUUAACAAGUUGCCCAGUCCUUGCUGAUGAGAAGCAUCCCCACAGCAUGAUGCUGCCACCACCAUACUUCACUGUAGGGAUGGUGUGUCUUGAGCCAUGGGUAGUGUUAGGUAUGCACCACACAUAGCGCUUUGAGUUUUGGCCAAAAAACUCUCUCUUGGUCUCAUCUGACCACAAAACCUUUUCCUACAUCGCACCUGGGGCACUCUCGUGCUUUGUGGCAAACUCCAGAUGUGCUUUCAGAUGGUACUUUUUGAGUAUCAGCUUCUUUCUUGCCACCCUCCACACAGGCCAAUGUUAUGCAAAGCUCUUGAUAUUGUUGACUGGUGCACCAGUACUCCAUUCCCAGACACUGAACUCUGUAGCUCCUUCAAAGUGAUUGUUGACCUCUCUGUGGCUUCUCUCACAAGUCUCCUUCUUGACUGAGUGCUGAGUUUUGAGGGACAUCUUUUUCUUGGCAGUGCCUGGGUGGUGUGACACAGCUUCUACUUUCUGAUCAUUGAUCCAACUGUGCUCACUGGGAUAUCCAAAUACUUGGAUACUAUUUUGUACCCUUUUCCUAAUCUAUGCAUUUAUAUUACAUUAUCUCUCACUUCUGUAGAAUGCUCUUUGGUCUUGGUUUUCCUUCAAAUCCACAGCCUGACCAAUGAUCCUUCAACAGUGGGGUCUUUAAUCCUGACAAUGAGACAGCAACUUUAAUGGUUCACAGGUGGAGGCCAAUGGUAAGGUAAUUGUGUCCUCCAUAGGGCAAUUUCUUUAAUCUGUGUAAACUGGGAGCUUCCACAGCACAAGGGUUGAAUACGUAUGCAAGAAACGUGUUUUAGUUUUUUAUGUUUCUUACAAACAUUUCCCAACAUAAAACCAAUGUCACCUAACAAUAAUUGAUUUUGAGUUUCAGCGUUUCAAAAUAUCAUACAGAACAAAAUUACAAUGUACCGUUUGUAAUUCAGUAAUAUGAGAGCAUUGGUCAGGGGUCUGAUUACAUUUGCAAGGCACUGUAUGUGUGUGUGUGUGUGUGUGUGUAUAUGUAUAUAUAUAUAUAUAAAAGAUACCACUGCACUGUUUAAUUUUACCUUUUCUUCAGGUAAAUCCAUACAAUAAGCUCUAGGUGAAAAUGGUGAAUUGUGUAUUUAUAGUUCUGUUAAAUGUUGGAAGAACAUUUUAGGAUUCUAAUGGUUUUUAAAUGAAUGUAUGGAUUUAUACCUCCAAGUUUUUAAGUACAAUUUUAUACCUUGUUUAAAACUAGGUAUUUGGUAAGGUGCUUCCUGGAAUAGCAGAGAAAAUAUGCAAGCUAGAACUUAAAUUGGAACAGUAUUUAAUUUUAGUAUAUUUCAAACAUGGGAGCGGCAAAUGUGGAAAGGAACAGGGAGAAGUUUGUUAGCCAUCUGCUUCUGAUGUUUCCACAAUAUUGUGAUGACAUCGCCAUCUUCUCUGAGGAGUGUUAUCCAGCCACAUGUCAUGCAUUAAAAUUGACCUCUGAAAGGCCUGCAUCUUACAACUAGCCCUUAAUGGAGUGAACUACAUCAUGACUACUGCCCAUCUUCAAACAACAUUGAUGCUGCUUUCAAAAAGAAACUGCCUUUGAGCUAUUCAAUAACUAGUCUUUCCCUACACCCUUAGCACAUAGUGGAAGUAUUACUUGAUUAGUUGUUUUAGAACAUCACAACUCCAGCUUAAUAUCAAGGAGCAGGCAGGAAGUCAUUUUCAUGUGCCUCCAGUCUCCAGAUCCUUUAUGACAUUUGCAAUGCAGCACCUGCCUUGGAGAAAGCAAUAUGGUGAUCUACAAGCCCUUUUGGAACUGGUUCACACAAGCUCAAUAUAGACACUAGCUGUUCUGAUACAUUCUUGAUAUUGAUCUGUGAGACACCUUCAAUUCUGUUCUGAAUUACUAUCAUUUCAUGCAUGAUCUGAAAAAAUGAAUUGCCUGCAAAUAUUGUCUUAAAUGACAAAAAUGGGCAUUUUAUAUAUAGGGCACUAGGUUUAGCUUAAGAUAUAUGUGAAAAUGCACCUUAAAGGCUUAACUACUAAGUUAAUAACUAAGCUGCUUUAAGCAAAAAUAACCAGUUGAAAAAAAGAGCUGAAUCUGCUUUUUUUAAUAUCAAUUUUUGAAGACCAAUAAAAGUGUUUAUGACUGGGUCUUUUUCAAGUGGGUCUUUUGCUAUUGCUUUGUUCCCAACAGUCGAAAAGGCCUUUGAGUCCGUCUAUUGGAACAUAAAUAUUAAUCUAGCACAAAAUCUACUAAUAAAGCUUGACUUUAAGGCUCUCAUGCUCUAGCCUUGUUUUGAUUUUACAAGGCAUCAUUAGUGUGACUCAGGUUUUAUCUAUAAACAUUUUAAGAAUGGUAUCAGUAUCCCUACACAUUAUUAAAGAAUUCAAUUAUUAAACAAGCUCUUAAAAAAACACAAGCUACCUACUUUGUUUAAAUACAUGAUGUAACUGUUAAGAACCUAAAACUGGGUCUGACACCACCCAUGAUGGCAACUGCAAAUUCUGCUAGGUCCUAUGAACACCUUUUUGCAGCUGUAUAAUCUGGCAGGAGGGGAGUGUGUUGUAUCUUUAGCUUGAAUUGGAAUAAACGUAACUGUUCCUUCAGGCUACAGUAGAGGAAGGACAAGAGAUGCAGAGCAAUUAAAAGAUUUGUGAAGCCAUCCUCUUCCCUUGCUUCAUUAAAUAGCAGAAGGGAUGCAGUCCUAGUACAGUGGUGGACCAGCACCUUUUCUCCUUGCAAUUUCCAUCCCAGCUGCUCAUUAGAACUUAUAAUGACGAACUGGUUACCCGAGUUUAUUUCCUCUAGCAUUCCAAUCCUUUUUUCUUUUGUGUUGUCUUUUUAGAUUGUAAGCCUGACGGCAAGGACUGUUUAUUAUUGAUCUGUAAGCUAUGCUCGGAGUGUUUUGGCUGAAGAGCUGGAUAAAAACUAUUAAAAAAUUGGAAAAGUU